This is a long non-coding RNA of Chloebia gouldiae (Gouldian finch), 1554 nucleotides long. Lineage: Eukaryota; Metazoa; Chordata; Aves; Passeriformes; Passeridae. The record is from Ensembl.
AUUAAACCACACCCCUUUAUGUAAACCGCACCCCUUUAUGUAAACCACACCCAUGCACCAUUAAACCACACCCCUUUGGGUAAACCACGCCCAUUUCCUGUUAAACCACGCCCAUUUCCUGUUAAACUACGCCCAUUCCCUGUUAAACCACACCCCUUUAUGUAAACCACGCCCCUUUAUGUAAACCAUGCCCACUCCCUGUCAAACCACGCCCAUUCCCAUUGAACCACACCCAUUUUUCCAGACCACGCCCCCUCCCCCUUAUGCCACGCCUCCUUAACCACACCCCCUUGGUCCAAAGCCCCGCCCACGCCCCCUUCCCGAAUCACGUGUUAAUCGCAUAUUAAUGAGCCCCUUUCUGCCUGUUAAUAAGGACCUCACACAUUUUAAUGAGCCUCUCAUGCAUAUUAGUGAUCCCUCAUGCAUAUUAAUGAGCAUCUUAUGUACGUUCGUGAUCCCUCGUGCAUAUUAAUGAGCACCAUGUGCACAUUAAUGAGCGCCACACACGUUAACGAUCUGCUCCCGCAUAUUAACGAGCCGCCGUGCGUAAUAAUGAGCCCCUCGUGCAUAUUAAUGAGCUCCUCAUGCAUAUUAAUGAGCCCCACUCACUGUAGCCCAUGCCCUGCAGGAAGUACUUGAUGGCCUCGGUCAGGCGGCCGGGCUGGGGGGGGGGGGGGGGGGGGGGGGAGUGGUCAGGGCUGACCCCUGAGUGACCCUAGUGACCACGCCCACCCCGUGACCCCGCCGUGACCUCUGACCCCUCACCUGGGCGAUCUGCGGCUGCCCGCCCCCGUCGGCCAUCUGCAGGAGAGGAGCGGCGAGCGGUCACUCGGGGUCACUCAGGGUCACUCGGGGGUCAGGGGUCACUCAGGGUCACUCAUUGGUCACUCAUUGGUCACUCAGGGUCACUCAGGGUCACUCAGGGUCACUCAUUGGUCACUCAUUGGUCACUCAGUGGUCACUCAGUGGUCACUCAGGGGUCAGUCACGGUCACUCGGGGUCACUCAUUGGUCACUCAGGGGUCACUCAGGGUCACUCAUUUGUCACUCAGGGGUCACUCAUUGGUCACUCGGGGUCACUCAUUGGUCACUCAGUGGUCACUCAGGGUCACUCAUUGGUCACUCAUUGGUCACUCAGGGUCACUCAUUGGUCACUCAUUGGUCACUCGGGGGUCAGAGGUCACCUUCAGGAAGGACGUCUGCGUCGGGUCCAGCUUGGCGUUGCACUCCACCUUGGGGGAGGGGCCGAGGGUUGUGGGCGGGGCCCAGGGCUGGGGGCGGGGCCCAGCCGGCCACGCCCCCACCCCGCCCCGCCCCCACUCACCACGGCGUCCUCGUGGGGGGCGUUGUCACCGACCACCAGCAGGACCGGGCAGCUGCGGGGUCAGAGGGCACGUGGGGUCAGAGGUCACGCAGGGGGCAGGGGUCACUCAGGGGGCAGGGGUCACUCAGAGUCACUCAGUGGUCACUCAGGGGUCAUUCAGGGUCACUCAGGGUCACUCACCGCAGGCUCCCGGCUCCGCUCCGCUCCAGGCCGAGGUCAGCGCGGCUGAGG